Molecule: ribosomal RNA, 166 nt
Filed under: Conopholis americana
Lineage: Eukaryota; Viridiplantae; Streptophyta; Magnoliopsida; Lamiales; Orobanchaceae
Description: 5.8S ribosomal RNA
Rfam family: 5.8S ribosomal RNA
About the family: 5.8S ribosomal RNA (5.8S rRNA) is a component of the large subunit of the eukaryotic ribosome. It is transcribed by RNA polymerase I as part of the 45S precursor that also contains 18S and 28S rRNA. Functionally, it is thought that 5.8S rRNA may be involved in ribosome translocation.
Source: RNAcentral
CUAAACGACUCUCGGCAACGGAUAUCUCGGCUCUCGCAUCGAUGAAGAACGUAGCGAAAUGCGAUACUUGGUGUGAAUUGCAGAAUCCCGUGAACCAUCGAUUCUUUGAACGCAAGUUGCGCCCAAAGCCGUUCGGCUUAGGGCACGUCUGCCUGGGCGUCACGCA